RNAcentral lists this long non-coding RNA (1592 nucleotides) under Mus musculus (house mouse). RNAcentral describes it as "long non-coding RNA chr11:94007125-94008717". The record is from RNAcentral. Lineage: Eukaryota; Metazoa; Chordata; Mammalia; Rodentia; Muridae.
GGUUAUAGUUUCAAGUGUCUGAUAAUCUUUUUUUAAAAAAGAUUUAUUUAUGUAUAUGAGUACACCAUUGUUCAGACAUACCAGAAGAGGACAUCAGAUUCCAUUACAGAUGUUUGUGAGCCACCAUGUGGUCAUGUGGUUGCUGGGAAUUGAACUCAGGACCUCUGGAAGAGCAGUUGGUGCUCUUAACCACUGAGCCAUCUCCCUAGCCCUGGCUUUGGUUUUUCAAGAUAAGGGGUCUUGGUGUAGCCCUGGCUGUCAUAGAACUUACUCUAUAGACCAGGCUGGUCUGAAAUUCAGAGAUCCAUCUGCCUCUGCCUUCUGAAUGCUGGGACUGAAGGUGUGCAUUACCACCACCUGCUUUAUUUAAUUUGUUAUUGCAUUUAUAAUGACAUGUGUAUGGGUGUGCACAUGCCAAGUACAAAUGUAGUGGUUAGGGCACAACUCUCGGGCUGCUUUUCACUUUGUGGGUCCUAGGGAUUGGGAUUCCAUUGUUAGGGUUUAGAACAUAUGACUCUCCUGUCUCUGUCUCCUAAGUCCUGGGAUUGCAGGUGUAUAGCACCACAGCUAUUUUGACAUUGUGUGUGUGUGUGUGUGGUCAGGGUCAGGGGAGAGGGAGAGAUAGAUAGAUAGAUAGGAUGUCCUAGUGUGGAAAGUACUUUGUAGCUGAGAAUGACUUUGAAUUUCUAAUCUUCUGUUAGAAUUAUAGACAUAAACCACCAUGCCUGAUAUAAACCUCAUUUUUUUACACUAAUUUUUGAGGUAAGUAACUUAUUAACAAUUUUUUUUUUACAUUUAGAUUUGGGGGUGUCCUCCCUAUGUUACUUUUAUGACCUUGAGUUCUUUCUUAUUUCAUAAAACAAGCUUCAUUGAAAAGUAAGUACAUUUAACUAAAAAUAAAUAAUGAUUAUAUAAUGGAAAUAAUUUCUUUUCCCUUCAGAAUAAGUAAGGGUGUUUAUCUUGGAGGAUGUCUGGCAGCAAGAAAGCCUGUUAUUUGGUGGUGCUAAGUUUUUAGACAAUUGCUAUAUUCAAAAUUCUAUUUAAAGGGCUCUCCAACCUUUGUUGGCCUCCUGUGUCUUACUCCAGAGAGCAGCAGUCUCUGAGGAGUUUGCCUUUUCAAAGAACCCAUUUGUUUUUAUCUAGAACAGUAGAGCAAAGCAGUCCCUAUAAGCCAUGUGGACGUAGAGGCAUCUUGCUUCAUCAGAGAGCUGAUUCUUUUUGAGAUCCUGACAUAAGUUGGUAUUGUCUACUACUUUUUUUUUUUAAGCAGUGUCUAGUUGCUCCCAGGAGAUUUCUGUCUGAAGUUCCAUCAAUAUUGUUGCUGGCCUGGUAGCUGUUAAGAUGAAGAAGAGUAUCUAGUGAGAAUUUAUUUAUUACAUAUUGAGAAUUCCCAUUCACAGGCUUUUACUGUCUGCUUAAAAGAGUGUAUGAGAAAAAUGGAGGGAGAGAGGAAUAGGGAGAGGGAUUUAUGCUAUAACAUUUUGGAAGUAUUCAACCAACUCUAUUUAUGGUGGGGGUGAAUAGCCACAAUUUCCAGAGGUGAAGUCAUUUAGAAUUAGGAAAACUGCAUCUUUUAAAAUCUUAUUGUUUUG